This is a non-coding RNA of Amborella trichopoda, 2406 nucleotides long. NCBI's taxonomy places the organism in Eukaryota, Viridiplantae, Streptophyta, Magnoliopsida, Amborellales, Amborellaceae. The record is from RefSeq and is a predicted model, not a curated record.
CUCUCUCUCUCUCUCUCUCUCUCUCUCUCUCUCUCUCCUUUGAGGCCUGUGUGAUAUCUAGAUCUUUAGACUAGACUCUGUUUAGCUGUUGAGUACAUUUGUGAGAUAGUGGUCCUUGGUUUAGCUGUUGAGUACAUUUGUGAGAUAGGGGUACUUGGUUUAGCUGUCAAGUCAUUUGUGAGAUAGUAGUGGUACUUGUUGCAGAAGUAGUAAGGUGUAUUUCUUAUGUGGAAUUGCAUUUACCUUUUGAUAAUAUGGUAACUAUGAUAUUAUGAAGUAAUGGAUGGUAAUCAAUCAAUGGUUGUGUUUUAAUUUGAUGUUUUGACUAUGUAAGGGCACUGAACUGUAUUUCGAGAUUCAUUCCGACUAUUAGAGCAAAAUUGGAGAAAAAGUUGGUGGUGAUUAAAUUCUAGUGGAAUUAGGAGGUAAGUUAGGUGAUUUUUUGGCUAAAUUUUGGUGUAUAUUUUUAUUUUUAUUUUAAAACUAUUUAUUGCCAUGUUUUAGCCAAAUUAUGGGGUCAUCAUUGAGCCAUUUCAGCAGGAAACUUUAUCCCUUCUUUUAGGUUGAAUUCAGUUGAAGUUUGAAGUCAAUUUUUUUAAGCUGAAUUUGUGGCAGUUCUAUAGCCAUUUGAACUCCCUUGAGCAAUUGUUGGGUUGAGUUUAGUUAAAACUCUCACACCAAUUUCUUAGCUGUGUCGAAUUUCUUUUAGUCAUUUUGAGGCAAUUUCAGAGUAAGAACUUUUGAUAUUUCUUUAUCUGCCUUUGAGAAACAUUGUUAGGUCAUUCUAGUGUCCAAAUUGGGAAAUUAUUCUUUUGCUAUUUGGAAACCAAAUUUGGAGAAAAGGUCUUUUAUUUUCUAACCUGAAUUUGUGAUUUACUUUUGGCUUUUUUCUAGAACCAAAAUUGGAGACAUCUUAUGGGAUAGCAAUUCGUUCGCCACAUUUGUGGGAAUUUUGAAGCAGUUCAAGUGCUAAUCUCGGAGGGAGCUUGCGAUCUUCUCUCAUCAGGCUUAAAAUCAUAUUAAGGUUAUUUCUAUGGGUCGCAAUGGAUCUGACCAGACCCGUGACCAAAACCGGGUUCUGAUGGGUAGACCCGACCUCGGGUUCGGGUUCAAAACCUGGGCCCGAAUACUAUUUGGGUUUGGGGCCAGGUCAGACCCUUUGCCCUCCCUAGUUAUUUCUUGAAAUGUACUUUCUGAUCUGUAUGAUCUUAGAAGUACUGGUUGGUAAUAACAGUAGUGGACAGUGGGAACCCCAACCUUGUAACAUGUCGCUAAGCUUGAUGGCAUGGUGACACCAAUUAGUACCUCUCCGGCAGAUAAGGUCUGACAUAGCAGAAGCUGGGGUCUGACAGGCCCGCAUAUUGGCUUUGUGCUAAUGACCUUAGAGCUACUGUCAAAGUUGAGCUUUAGAGUGCUUGCCUUCCCUUUGGGGAGAUUCCUUUAGAGUGGGGCGCAAAGUCUAGGAAUGAGCACUCACUGAAGUCUAUUCUUCGAUUUAGCCGUAGAUAUAAUUAUUACUUUGAGCUCACCUCUCAUCAGAUAGGAGUUUGAAGGCAAAUCCCAUGCGCCUUAUUUUUUUUCUGUAGUGUGAGGUUAUUGAUGGUGGCUGGUUUUGUAAUUUACCUUUUUCAGUAGCAGGGUUGACAUUCACUGGAUGAGAAGAGAACUGAAAGUGGUGGACACUACCCACUGUGAAUCAGAUUUUCGGAGAAGGUGGUCCUCGGUGUUUGACACAACACAUGAUGAGUGCCUUGUCUAAGAUUGCGAGUGAGGAGUUUUAUGUGGUUCUGGUAUGGGUAGUCCAUCCUGAAUGUGCUGAUGUUUUUGAGAGCCUUGUUCGAAAAUGUUUUUUACAGAAAACAUACCAUCAGUGUAUGGCCUCUUUAAGUGAUAGCAUCUUCCCUCUUGGGGUGAUGAUAGAAGUUUGAAAAGGUGCUUCUGUAACUGGAGGAAAGCUUCGAUCUCUAUGCCUCUAACUAUGCAGCCCUAUUGCCCCGUUGAUGCGGAAUCCAGUCCCUGAUACGAGGUCGUGCAUUGUGGCUAUAUGGUGCAAGGCGAUGGCAAAUGGCUCUGAGAAUUUUGAAGGGAUGAUCACCAAUCCACUUGUUUAUCCAGAAUCAGGUGUGCCUUCCAUUGCCCACCAUAGAUCUUGGGCUGUUGAUGAAGAUGCAGCUACACUGAAACUGAUAUCCAAUCUACUUUUGUAUCUAGAAUAUGUAGCAGCAUAUUGUUAAAAGGAAAAUUUUCCAUGCGUUGGGGCGGCGUACAUCUGCAUUUGCAUUCCCCGAGGCAUAAAGCAAUCAUCUUAGGGAUGGACGCUAAGUGGUGGUCCCUUUGGAAAAGGAGAAAAAUCAAUGGCCUAAAUUUGUUUCAAAUAAUUAUCUUUUUUAAAUUAUUUAUUUUACA